Long non-coding RNA from Perognathus longimembris pacificus (Pacific pocket mouse), 237 nucleotides. RefSeq lists it as uncharacterized. The transcript has 3 exons. Lineage: Eukaryota; Metazoa; Chordata; Mammalia; Rodentia; Heteromyidae. The record is from RefSeq and is a predicted model, not a curated record.
CCCGGAGGCAGGCCUGCUGGAGAUGUUGGUGUUGAACUUGGUCCCUGCCCACCAGAAAGGCGAUCUCUUCUUUAUUAAGAACUUUCUGCACAACUAUAGACUGUGUGGGACAAUGCAGCAAGUGCUGGAUAUUCUAUUUAAAAAGUACAGAUCCCUCCGCCCCAACUGCGGGGAAGAUGAGCCAGUGAAGAACACCCUGUGUUCCAUCUUCACCCUGUGGAUGGACUUUUCCCCUGA